This 254-nucleotide ribosomal RNA is filed under the name uncultured bacterium. RNAcentral describes it as "partial 16S ribosomal RNA". It matches the Rfam family "Bacterial small subunit ribosomal RNA", at positions 524 to 776 of the family's 1533-position model. The record is from RNAcentral.
UACGUAGGGUGCAAGCGUUAAUCGGAAUUACUGGGCGUAAAGCGUGCGCAGGCGGCUUUGCAAGACAGAUGUGAAAUCCCCGGGCUCAACCUGGGAACUGCAUUUGUGACUGCAUGGCUAGAGUACGGUAGAGGGGGAUGGAAUUCCGCGUGUAGCAGUGAAAUGCGUAGAUAUGCGGAGGAACACCGAUGGCGAAGGCAAUCCCCUGGACCUGUACUGACGCUCAUGCACGAAAGACGUGGGGAGCAAACGAG